Molecule: long non-coding RNA, 1544 nt
Organism: Dreissena polymorpha
Lineage: Eukaryota; Metazoa; Mollusca; Bivalvia; Myida; Dreissenidae
Exons: 3
Source: RefSeq, a predicted model, not a curated record
CAACAUACGAAAUUUGGGUCAGGUUAUUCAAAGACUUAUCAAUAUACAAAGAUAAGCGUUAUCGGGUUAUCGCGGAUUUUCUCCCGGAGGGAACGAGAUUUAGUCACGUGGCCAAAGGCUAGGUACAACGAAUAGUUCGUCUGUAACGAGAUCACAUAUUGAAGGAGCAUUCACGGUAGUUUAAAUUCAAACCGGCGCCAGUUGAACGUCUACUGAAGGAGAAUCUCGGGAAGUUAGCAGGCCAGUGUAGCUUCAACAGCUGCGGACUACAGAAAGGGUUCAAAUCUGUCUAGCGGCAAACAAGAAUUUGAUGAUGCGGAAAACCAACGGUUCCAGCAAGUGUUUCCUAUUGCCUAUAAAAGCACACUAGAAAAUCUUCAAAAAGAUCCAAUGUAUAAUAUAUUGGGUACCUCUAACAUUCCUGAGAUAGCUAAGCAUUGCAAACAAAACGCUAAGUUUGAAAAUUACAUUAAGUCAAUAAUAGAAAAGUGCUUCGAUGGAAACAAAAUCUCUUCUGCAGCAGAGAGAGAAGUUUUCUUCAUGAAAGUGCAUGCAUGCAGAAUAGAUCCUGCUGUGUCUGGGGAUGCAAUCAAAGCGCUGAACAUGUUUGGAUCAAAUGUCAGUGAUUCUGACCUAAAUGCUUUCUUUCAAGACUGUUUGAUGAACUUAAUUGGUGAAUUUUUUAAAGCAAGGCGAAAUCUUGAGAAGAAACUAUGUGAGAACAGUCACAGUUCCGUAAGUGACCAGGACAACAAAAUAUUAUUUUACAUAGCUGGAUACAUAAUUCGUGCAUUAGAAAAGAAAUAUUACAGGCUACAUGACAAACAUUUACGUGAAAAACAAAUAGAAAAUAUCAAGGGCCUUAUCAACAAUUCAAGUGAAAAAACAUUCACAGACAAAUUCACAUCGAUGUACGAAAAAAAACAACGUGGGGGUCUUAAGAAACCAUGUGACAACUUCUUCUUGCUAGUAAGAGAGUUUGAAACAGUUAUUCGCAAAGGUGAAAAUGUACAUGAAUUAUCACAGAUGGAAUCAAAAGAAAAAGUGUUAGAAUCUUUCAUGGAAGGUCAUUACAGGGAAAAGCUAUUCCCUAGUGCUGCAGAAGAGGAAGAACAAGAAACGUGCACAGACCAAUUAAUUGAAGACAUUUUACAUCUGUUUCUUACUGUUCGAGGCCAUGCAAAAGCAAAGUCUAUAGUCAACAAAGUAAAGAAGGAGCAAAAGAAUGAAAACAGGGCAAAGACAUCUUCGAGUCUGCGUGGCACAUUAAAGUGCAUUUCAAACAAAUAAACUAUAAACCCCAACAUAUAAGAAGUUAUGCAAAAUGUCACCUUGUCAUGAAAAUAAAUUAAUAACAUUGAACUGCAAUCUUAUAAGGUUGUCACAUUUUUCUUAUGACAAAAUACUUUUUAAUGCCAGACUAAAAGAUCAAAUGGUAAAAAAUAUUGACUACAUUAAAAUGUAUAAUAUUGAAAUGUUACACCUUGUUGUUUACUUAGCUUAUAAAAUAUAUCUGAAAAUACAACAAUGAAAGAAAAUUUUGA